AUACGUAGGGGACGAGCGUUGUCCGGAAUGAUUGGGCGUAAAGGGCGCGUAGGCGGCCCGGUAAGUCUGGAGUGAAAGUCCUGUUUUUAAGAUGGGAAUUGCUUUGGAUACUGUCGGGCUUGAGUGCAGGAGAGGUAAGUGGAAUUCCCAGUGUAGCGGUGAAAUGCGUAGAGAUUGGGAGGAACACCAGUGGCGAAGGCGACUUACUGGACUGUAACUGACGCUGAGGCGCGAAAGUGUGGGGAGCAAACAGGAUUAGAUACCCUGGUAGUCCACACUGUAAACGAUGAAUACUAGGUGUGCGGGGACUGACCCCCUGCGUGCCGGCGUUAACACAAUAAGUAUUCCACCUGGGGAGUACGAUCGCAAGGUUGAAACUCAAAUGAAUUGACGGGG
RNAcentral lists this ribosomal RNA (396 nucleotides) under uncultured bacterium. RNAcentral describes it as "partial 16S ribosomal RNA". It matches the Rfam family "Bacterial small subunit ribosomal RNA", at positions 523 to 918 of the family's 1533-position model. The record is from RNAcentral.